GACGACGCUGGCGGCGUGCCUAAUACAUGCAAGUCGAGCGGGGCUGUUUGCUGGAAGCCUUCGGGCGGAAAGCUUGCAGCCUAGCGGCGGACGGGUGAGUAACGCGUGGGUAACCUGUCCUGAAGUACGGGAUAACAGUUCGAAAGGGCUGCUAAUACCGUAUGUGGUCAAGGGGAGUUCGCUUUCUUUGACUAAAGGUGAAAACCGCUUCAGGGUGGGCCCGCGUCCCAUUAGCUAGUUGGUAGGGUAAUGGCCUACCAAGGCGACGAUGGGUAGCCGGCCUGAGAGGGUGACCGGCCACACUGGGACUGAGACACGGCCCAGACUCCUACGGGAGGCAGCAGUAGGGAAUCUUGCGCAAUGGGGGAAACCCUGACGCAGCGACGCCGCGUGAGUGAAGAAGGCCUUCGGGUCGUAAAGCUCUGUCCUCCGGGAAGAUAAUGACGGUACCGGAGGAGGAAGCCCCGGCUAACUACGUG
This 479-nucleotide ribosomal RNA is filed under the name uncultured bacterium. RNAcentral describes it as "bacterial SSU rRNA". It matches the Rfam family "Bacterial small subunit ribosomal RNA", at positions 33 to 507 of the family's 1533-position model. The record is from RNAcentral.